UCAGAAGCUGGUAAACAGUGCCUGCAAAUCGAUCGAGAGAGAUCGAGAGAGAGGGAGGAGGAGGAGGAGGAAGAUGAUACACCGCAAGUGGAGUCUCAUGACUGGUCCCGUCGCCAUGCUCGGUGGCGUCGUGGCCGCCGUCGUCGUCGCCAACUACAUCUUCCUAGGCGAUCCAUUCCGUAAGCCAGAGCCAAAGAAGGAGUAUUCACCAUCAUCUACCAAGUGACCAUGUUGACGUAACUCAAAGUGAAUGUGAGGACCAUCUUUGGGCUGGGUUUUGAGCGUUCUUGAACCUUAAGAUGGGAACAGCAAGUUGUAUCUUGAAAUAUUAGUUGCGAGACCAUUGUUCAACCCAAUGUACCUGGCCAUUCUCUUUUGUUGAAUGCUGCUGUCGCAUUUCCUGUUUGACUGCGAAAAAUAAGUUGUUUUGAAUUUGACCAGUGAACACUGUGGCUAAUGCAAAUGUUUCCAUUAGUGGCAGAA
Molecule: long non-coding RNA, 483 nt
Organism: Syzygium oleosum
Lineage: Eukaryota; Viridiplantae; Streptophyta; Magnoliopsida; Myrtales; Myrtaceae
Exons: 3
Source: RefSeq, a predicted model, not a curated record